Molecule: ribosomal RNA, 24 nt
Filed under: Gyrodactylus laevis
Lineage: Eukaryota; Metazoa; Platyhelminthes; Monogenea; Gyrodactylidea; Gyrodactylidae
Description: partial 5.8S ribosomal RNA
Source: RNAcentral
GCCUCGUUUGAUCGAGUGUCGGCU